This 468-nucleotide ribosomal RNA is filed under the name uncultured bacterium. RNAcentral describes it as "partial 16S ribosomal RNA". It matches the Rfam family "Bacterial small subunit ribosomal RNA", at positions 28 to 507 of the family's 1533-position model. The record is from RNAcentral.
GACGAACGCUGGCGGCGUGCUUAACACAUGCAAGUCGAACGGAAAGGCCCUGCUUUUGUGGGGUGCUCGAGUGGCGAACGGGUGAGUAACACGUGAGUAACCUGCCCUUGACUUUGGGAUAACUUCAGGAAACUGGGGCUAAUACCGGAUAGGAGCUCCUGCUGCAUGGUGGGGGUUGGAAAGUUUCGGCGGUUGGGGAUGGACUCGCGGCUUAUCAGCUUGUUGGUGGGGUAGUGGCUUACCAAGGCUUUGACGGGUAGCAGGCCUGAGAGGGUGACCGGCCACAAGGGGACUGAGAUACGGCCCAGACUCCAACGGGGGGCAGCAGUGGGGAAUAUUGCACAAUGGGAGGAAGCCUGAUGCGACAACGCCGCGUGCGAGAUGACGGCCUUCGGGUUGUAAACCGCUUUCGCCUGUGACGAAGCGUGAGUGACGGUAAUGGGUAAAGAAGCACCGGCUAACUACGUG